RNAcentral lists this ribosomal RNA (433 nucleotides) under uncultured bacterium. RNAcentral describes it as "partial 16S ribosomal RNA". It matches the Rfam family "Bacterial small subunit ribosomal RNA", at positions 29 to 507 of the family's 1533-position model. The record is from RNAcentral.
AACGAACGCUGGCGGCAUGCCUAACACAUGCAAGUCGAACGAUGCCUUCGGGCAUAGUGGCGCACGGGUGCGUAACGCGUGGGAAUCUGCCUUUCGGUUCGGAAUAACUCAGGUAAACUUGAGCUAAUACCGGAUAACGUCGCAAGACCAAAGAUUUAUCACCGAAAGAUGAGCCCGCGUAGGAUUAGCUAGUUGGUGAGGUAAAGGCUCACCAAGGCGACGAUCCUUAGCUGGUCUGAGAGGAUGAGCAGCCGCACUGGGACUGAGACACGGCCCAGACUCCUACGGGAGGCAGCAGUGGGGAAUAUUGGAAAAUGGGCGAAAGCCUGAACCAGCAAUGCCGCGUGAGUGAUGAAGGCCUUAGGGUUGUAAAGCUCUUUUACCCGGGAAGAUAAUGACGGUACCGGGAGAAUAAGCCCCGGCUAACUCCGUG